RNAcentral lists this ribosomal RNA (497 nucleotides) under uncultured bacterium. RNAcentral describes it as "partial 16S ribosomal RNA". The stretch from base 60 to 497 matches the Rfam family "Bacterial small subunit ribosomal RNA", at positions 39 to 507 of the family's 1533-position model. The record is from RNAcentral.
GGGGGGGGGGGGGGGGGGGGGGGGGGGGGGGGGGGGGGAGGCUGGGGGGGGGGGCGGGCGCGGCGGGGGUGAGUUGCGGACGGGUGAGUGACGCGUAGGUAACCUGCCUGGUAGCGGGGGGUGACUAGUGGAAGCGAUAGCUAAUACCGCAUACUAGUAGAUGUUGCAUGACAUUUGCUUAAAAGGUGCAAUUGCAUCACUACCAGAUGGACCUGCGUUGUAUUAGCUAGUUGGUGAGGUAACGGCUCACCAAGGCAACGAUGCAUAGCCGACCUGAGAGGGGGAUCGGCCACACUGGGACUGAGACACGGCCCAGACUCCUACGGGAGGCAGCAGUAGGGAAUCUUCGGCAAUGGACGGAAGUCUGACCGAGCAACGCCGCGUGAGUGAAGAAGGUUUUCGGAUCGUAAAGCUCUGUUGUAAGAGAAGAACGAGUGUGAGAGUGGAAAGUUCACACUGUGACGGUAUCUUACCAGAAAGGGACGGCUAACUACGUG